This 28-nucleotide small RNA is filed under the name Bombyx mori (domestic silkworm). RNAcentral describes it as "ovarian small RNA-22977". The record is from RNAcentral. Lineage: Eukaryota; Metazoa; Arthropoda; Insecta; Lepidoptera; Bombycidae.
UAGUCAGGUUUUCGAUCCUUUGGGGCUC